This 469-nucleotide ribosomal RNA is filed under the name uncultured organism. Its description in RNAcentral is "partial 16S ribosomal RNA". It matches the Rfam family "Bacterial small subunit ribosomal RNA", at positions 335 to 796 of the family's 1533-position model. The record is from RNAcentral.
ACUCCUGCGGGAGGCAGCAGUGGGGAAUUUUGGACAAUGGGCGAAAGCCUGAUCCAGCAAUGCCGCGUGUGUGAAGAAGGCCUUCGGGUUGUAAAGCACUUUUGUCCGGAAAGAAAUCCUUGGCUCUAAUACAGUCGGGGGAUGACGGUACCGGAAGAAUAAGCACCGGCUAACUACGUGCCAGCAGCCGCGGUAAUACGUAGGGUGCGAGCGUUAAUCGGAAUUACUGGGCGUAAAGCGUGCGCAGGCGGUUUGCUAAGACCGAUGUGAAAUCCCCGGGCUCAACCUGGGAACUGCAUUGGUGACUGGCAGGCUAGAGUAUGGCAGAGGGGGGUAGAAUUCCACGUGUAGCAGUGAAAUGCGGAGAGAUGUGGAGGAAUACCGAUGGCGAAGGCAGCCCCCUGGGCCAAUACUGACGCUCAUGCACGAAAGCGUGGGGAGCAAACAGGAUUAGAGACCCUUGUAGUCC